GAUGAAGAACGUAGCGAAAUGCGAUAAGUAAUGUGAAUUGCAGAAUUCAGUGAAUCAUAGAAUCUUUGAACGCACAUUGCGCCCGCCAGUAUUCUGGCGGGCAUGCCUGUUCGAGCGUCAUUACAACCCUCAGGCCCCCGGGCCUGGCGUUGGGGAUCGGCGGAAGCCCCCUGCGGGCACAACGCCGUCCCCCAAAUACAGUGGCGGUCCCGCCGCAGCUUCCAUUGCGUAGUAGCUAACACCUCGCAACUGGAGAGCGGCGCGGCCACGCCGUAAAACACCCAACUUCUGAAUGUUGACCUCGAAUCAGGUAGGAAUACCCGCUGAACUUAAGCAUAUCAAUAAGCGGAGGA
RNAcentral lists this unclassified non-coding RNA (353 nucleotides) under soil metagenome. Its description in RNAcentral is "partial contains 5.8S ribosomal RNA, internal transcribed spacer 2, and large subunit ribosomal RNA". The stretch from base 1 to 120 matches the Rfam family "5.8S ribosomal RNA", at positions 35 to 154 of the family's 154-position model. The record is from RNAcentral.